CCCGGAAUUUUUGGGUUAUUUAAUAUCUAAUUUAGAACUGGUACGGACAAGGGGAAUCCGACUGUUUAAUUAAAACAAGCAUUGUGAUGGUUUUGAAUAAAUGAUGACACAAUGUGAUUUCUGCUCAGUGCUCAGAAUGUCAAUAUGAAGAGAUUUAACCAAGCGCGGGUAAACAGCGGGAGUAACUAUGACUCUCUUAAGGUAGCCAAAUGCCUCGUCGUCCAAUUAGCGACGCGCAUGAAUGGAUUAAUGAGAUUCCCACUGUCCCUAAUUACUAUCUAGCGAAACCACAGCCAAGGGAACGGGCUUGGCAAAAUUAGCGGGGAAAGAAGACCCUGUUGAGCUUGACUUUAUUCAGAAUUUGUGAAAUGGUGCUCGAGGUAUAGAAUAGGUGGGAGUGUAACGAAAUUGAAAUACCACUACUUUUGACGUUGUUUUACUUAUUAAAUAAAAAACUGAUUGAUUAAUAAUCUUGAUUCUAGAAUUAACGAAUAUUACAUGUUGCUUCCAUGUGAGGUAACCUCUGAUUUACGGAAGUUUGUUUAAGACAUUUUCUGGUGGGGAGUUUGGCUGGGGCGGCACAUCUGUUAAAAGAUAACACAGGUGUCCAAAGUAUAACUCAAUGAGAACGGAAAUCUCAUGUAGAAUAAAAGGGUAAAAGUUAUAUUGAUUUUGAUUUUCAGUAAGAAUACAAACCGUGAAAGCGUGGCCUAUCGAUCCUUUAUUAAAUAAAAAUCUUAUGCUAGAGGUGUCAGAAAAGUUACCACAGGGAUAACUGGCUUGUGGCAGCCAAGAGUUCAAAUCGACGUUGCUUUUUGAUCCUUCGAUGUCGGCUCUUCCUAUCAUUGUGAAGCAGAAUUCACCAAGUGUUGGAUUGUUCACCCUUCAAAAGGGAACGUGAGCUGGGUUUAGACCGUCGUGAGACAGGUUAGUUUUACCCUACUAAUGAAGUAGGAUUAUUCUAAUAGUAAUUCAAUUCAGUACGAGAGGAACCAUUGAUUCAGAUAUUUGGUUUAUAAGAUUAUUUGAACAGAUAGAGUCUUGAAGCUAUCAUCUGUAGGAUUACAACUGAACGCCUCUAAGUUGGAAUCCAUGCUAAAACUAAGAAUAAUGUAUUUGAUCGUGAUAUUAAUUAAAAAAAGAUAGAACGAAAGUUCCUAAUUUAUACGCUAAGGGUUACUCAAUUUGAUUCUAGAUGAAAAUAGUUUCUUGUUGUACAUGCUCGAAUGAUAAUUUUAAAUAUAACGAUCGUUGAUCCUUUGU
RNAcentral lists this ribosomal RNA (1263 nucleotides) under metagenome. RNAcentral's name for it is "eukaryotic LSU rRNA". It matches the Rfam family "Eukaryotic large subunit ribosomal RNA", at positions 2077 to 3308 of the family's 3401-position model. The record is from RNAcentral.